RNAcentral lists this ribosomal RNA (449 nucleotides) under uncultured bacterium. Its description in RNAcentral is "partial 16S ribosomal RNA". It matches the Rfam family "Bacterial small subunit ribosomal RNA", at positions 29 to 523 of the family's 1533-position model. The record is from RNAcentral.
AAUGAACGCUGGCGGCAGGCCUAACACAUGCAAGUCGAACGGAUCCUUCGGGAUUAGUGGCGGACGGGUGAGUAACGCGUGGGAACAUACCCAAAGGUACGGAAUAGCCUCGGGAAACUGGGAGUAAUACCGUAUGUGCUCGAAAGAGGAAAGAUUUAUCGCCUUUGGAUUGUCCCGCGUUGGAUUAGGUAGUUGGUGGGGUAAUGGCCUACCAAGCCGACGAUCCAUAGCUGGUUUGAGAGGAUGAUCAGCCACACUGGGACUGAGACACGGCCCAGACUCCUACGGGAGGCAGCAGUGGGGAAUCUUAGACAAUGGGGGAAACCCUGAUCCAGCCAUGCCGCGUGAUCGAUGAAGGCCUUAGGGUUGUAAAGAUCUUUCAGGUGGGAAGAUAAUGACUGUACCACCAGAAGAAGCCCCGGCUAACUCCGUGCCAGCAGCCGCCGUAA